Molecule: RNA transcript, 902 nt
Organism: Brassica napus (rape)
Lineage: Eukaryota; Viridiplantae; Streptophyta; Magnoliopsida; Brassicales; Brassicaceae
Gene name: dormancy-associated protein homolog 3
Exons: 4
Source: RefSeq, a predicted model, not a curated record
AGACUAAGAUCAACGGACGAGAUCUUCCUGGUCGCCUUUAAAGUCAUUACUCUCUGCAACGUUUGUGAGAAGAAAGAAACAUUACUUGCGACCAAAAAUUACAGAUUCUUGAAACUAUUAGUGUUGAUACUUGAUAGAUACCAUGGGCUUACUAGAUCAUCUCUGGGAUGAUACCGUCGCUGGUCCUAGGCCAGAGAACGGCCUUGGCAAGCUUCGGAGACACCAUACCUUCAGUUUCCGGCCUAGCUCCGGUAAUGAUCAAUCGGACGGUGGAAGCGUGAGAUCGUACGGUGAAGAAUCACCGGAGGAGGCCGUGAAAGUGACACGUAGCAUCAUGAUAAUAAAACCACCGGGAUACCAAGGCGGUUCAGCUCCGGUUUCACCAGCCGGUUCAACUCCGCCAGUAUCUCCUUUCUCUGCAUGAUCCUUGAUAAGAUGAGAUGUGACACAGUGAACUCCAUCUAUGAUAUCACUGAUUAUUAUUGCCCCUUGAUUGAUAUAUUUGUUAGCAAACGCAGGAGGAAAGGAACCCUUUCGGUUUAGGAGAAGGUCGACGUCGGACGCGUUCGAUAAGGGAGCAGGAUCAGAGAAUGGACCAAGGAACUCUCCUCCUACUUACGGCCUGUGAUCUAUAACUCAAAUCUCAAUAGGGAGAGAGAAAAGAAGAAGAGUAGCCCCCAAAACGCUUUCGAUCAAGUGGUCCUUGCAUGCAGAGUUCGUGUUGCUUCCGUUUGUAGGCCAAAGAGGUUCUCUCUUUUGUGUGCGUGUAUGAGUUUGUUUUGUGUGUUUGUGGUUACGUCUAUGUUUUUGUUUUUGUAUGUCAUCUCGUUUUGGGAAUGCUUCUACGUGUCUGUACAUAUUUUGCUGCAAUGAUAAUAAAAAUGUGUAGAUGCUUAACAUCA